RNAcentral lists this ribosomal RNA (460 nucleotides) under uncultured bacterium. RNAcentral describes it as "partial 16S ribosomal RNA". It matches the Rfam family "Bacterial small subunit ribosomal RNA", at positions 338 to 795 of the family's 1533-position model. The record is from RNAcentral.
CCUACGGGAGGCAGCAGUGAGGAAUAUUGGUCAAUGGACGAGAGUCUGAACCAGCCAAGUAGCGUGAAGGAUGACUGCCCUAUGGGUUGUAAACUUCUUUUAUAUGGGAAUAAAGUGUUCAACGUGUGGGUUUUUGUAUGUACCAUAUGAAUAAGGAUCGGCUAACUCCGUGCCAGCAGCCGCGGUAAUACGGAGGAUGCGAGCGUUAUCCGGAUUUAUUGGGUUUAAAGGGUGCGUAGGUGGUUAGUUAAGUCAGUGGUGAAAGUUUGCGGCUCAACCGUAAAAUUGCAGUUGAAACUGGCAGUCUUGAGUAUAGUAGAGGUAGGCGGAAUUCGUGGUGUAGCGGUGAAAUGCUUAGAUAUCACGCAGAACUCCGAUUGCGAAGGCAGUUCACUAGACUACAACUGACACUGAAGCUCGAAAGUGUGGGUAUCAAACAGGAUUAGAUACCCCGGUAGUC